CCAUCUAAGAAGAAGCAGAAGCUGGAGGAAAUAGAAGGCCCAAAUGGUGAAGAAUCAGAGACUACGAACAUGGAAGUAGCAAAACAGAUUUGCUGGUCUUUGGUCAUUGAGUGUGGAAGUCCAAGUUCAAAAGCUGACCAAGUCCACUUGGAAUUUAACUUCCAAAAGGGGUUCUCUCUCUCUCUCUAGAUCCUACGGCUGUGAUUUGUCGAUUGAGAUAGAGAGAGAAGUGGAAAGUCAAAGUUCAAGCUUGGAGAGUAGACCAAGAAUUUUCAAACCUGGUAUCCGCGUUGUGAUAUAGUAAGUAAACAUGUGCCUUUUCCUUUUCCUUUUCCUUUUCCUCUUCCACUUUCUAUUAUUUAUUUUGAAAUUUAGAGCUUAUGAUUGCGAGUGGAGAGCUCUUCGCUUCGCAUAAUAAGACCACUGACUUGGAUUUCUUUGCAUCAUCAAAUUCCAAGUGUUAACAAAAUUUCUUCU
Momordica charantia (bitter melon) is the source of this 477-nucleotide long non-coding RNA. RefSeq lists it as uncharacterized. The record is from RefSeq and is a predicted model, not a curated record. Lineage: Eukaryota; Viridiplantae; Streptophyta; Magnoliopsida; Cucurbitales; Cucurbitaceae.